CAUUGUUUUGUAGAGGUGUAUGGCACAAGAGAUGGGAAAUGGUUUUUCCCAAUACUGUUUCUCUCUCUUGUUCCAUACAUCAUCUAGAGAACAUAAU
Molecule: microRNA precursor, 97 nt
Organism: Lupinus angustifolius (narrow-leaved blue lupine)
Lineage: Eukaryota; Viridiplantae; Streptophyta; Magnoliopsida; Fabales; Fabaceae
Rfam family: MIR1507 microRNA precursor family
Source: Rfam